GUGAGGAAUAUUGGUCAAUGGGCGCAAGCCUGAACCAGCCAUCCCGCGUGCAGGAAGACGGCCCUAUGGGUUGUAAACUGCUUUUCCGGGGGGAGAAUUUUUCCGUCGUGACGGGAAUUGACGGUACCCCGGGAAUAAGCAUCGGCUAACUCCGUGCCAGCAGCCGCGGUAAUACGGAGGAUGCGAGCGUUAUCCGGAUUUAUUGGGUUUAAAGGGUGCGUAGGCGGAAUGAUAAGUCAGUGGUGAAAACCUGCAGCUUAACUGUAGACUUGCCGUUGAUACUGUCAGUCUUGAGUGUGGUCAAGGUAGGCGGAAUGUGUAAUGUAGCGGUGAAAUGCUUAGAUAUUACACAGAACACCGAUUGCGAAGGCAGCUUACUGGGCCAUUACUGACGCUGAUGCACGAAAGCGUGGGGAUCGAACAGGAUUAGAAACCCCGGUAGUCC
This 445-nucleotide ribosomal RNA is filed under the name uncultured bacterium. Its description in RNAcentral is "partial 16S ribosomal RNA". It matches the Rfam family "Bacterial small subunit ribosomal RNA", at positions 354 to 796 of the family's 1533-position model. The record is from RNAcentral.